CAGGAAAGGCUUGGUGAGAAUAACGCAGACUGUGCCCAUGGAGCCUGGAGGAGCAGCAGAGAACGCAGAGAAGAGACCUCUGAAUGCUUUUGCUGUUUUCCGUAGGGAUGCCCUCAGAAACGGCCUUUAUUUUCUCUAAAUGACGGGAUGAUUUUCCUGUCUGUGAAGAUUGAGGACCAGAAGUGCUGUGUACUGCAGUCCCGUCCUUAUCCGCGGGCCAGACAUCAUAGCAGUCUGUCGUAUCGCUCUGCUGAGCCCGGACUCGGAGCUAAAGGGAACAAACUGAACAGCCCGUGAUGGAUUGACUUCUAUUAGAUUCUUCAGGCAUCACCAUCAGUGUGAACUCCAUUUAAGUAACACCGUCAGAGACUUAAUUUAUUAUAUAAUUGAUAAGAAAUAUCACCUACGAAGCCUAGACAAUGAAAGUGACUUCCACAGGAAAUAUUUUGCUAAGAGACAGCGACAUGGGAAUGCGCUGGAGGCAGAAAAUUGAGUUAUGGAAUAAAUAGGUCCCUGUGGUGACCAAGCUCUGGUCAGCGUGGCGGUGCAGGCAGGGGAGCGCUGGAGGCGCGGUGGGAACGGGCUGCGGGCAGUGCUCGGCCCCGCACGCUGCGUGCCCCGAGGUGAGGCAGAAGCGCAGCAGCAGCAGGGGCUGAUUUCUUGCCAGAUCCCAUCUUUUCUGGGAAAGAAUGAAGGUUUUACUUUUUUCUCGAGGGUUUUUAUGUUCCCAGCCUGUGAGCCUGGAAGGUAUCCCUGUUAUCCUGCCCUGCAGCGAUGCUGCCCUCUGUGCGCAUUUGCCCGCUAGCUAGCUGGGCUUGUUUUUAUACGUACCUGGUUAUUUUUCACUGCUGCAGCUUAUCUGGUGUGUA
RNAcentral lists this long non-coding RNA (869 nucleotides) under Anser brachyrhynchus (Pink-footed goose). RNAcentral describes it as "lncRNA (ENSABRG00000005823.1)". The record is from RNAcentral. Lineage: Eukaryota; Metazoa; Chordata; Aves; Anseriformes; Anatidae.